RNAcentral lists this ribosomal RNA (401 nucleotides) under uncultured Actinomycetales bacterium. Its description in RNAcentral is "bacterial SSU rRNA". It matches the Rfam family "Bacterial small subunit ribosomal RNA", at positions 975 to 1375 of the family's 1533-position model. Lineage: Bacteria; Bacillati; Actinomycetota; Actinomycetes; Actinomycetales. The record is from RNAcentral.
CAAGGCUUGACAUAUACGAGAACGGGCCAGAAAUGGUCAACUCUUUGGACACUCGUAUACAGGUGGUGCAUGGUUGUCGUCAGCUCGUGUCGUGAGAUGUUCGGUUAAGUCCGGCAACGAGCGCAACCCUCGUCCUAUGUUGCCAGCACGUUAUGGUGGGAACUCAUGGGAUACUGCCGUGGUCAACACGGAGGAAGGUGGGGAUGACGUCAAAUCAUCAUGCCCCUUAUGUCUUGGGCUUCACGCAUGCUACAAUGGCCGAUACAAAGGGCUGCGAUACCGCGAGGUGGAGCGAAUCCCAAAAAGUCGGUCUCAGUUCGGAUUGGGGUCUGCAACUCGACCCCAUGAAGUCGGAGUCGCUAGUAAUCGCAGAUCAGCAACGCUGCGGUGAAUACGUUCCC